AACGAACGCUGGCGGCAUGCCUAACACAUGCAAGUAGAACGAGACCGUCGGGUCUAGGGGCGCCCGGGUGCGUAACGCGAGGGAACCUUCCCGUGGGGUCGGAAUAACUCCCAGAGGGGGGUGCUAAUACCGGAUGAUAGCUACGACCGAAAGAUGUAUGGCCUUUGAAUGGGCCCGCGUUGGAUUAGCUAGUUGGUAGGGUAAAAGCCUACCAAGGCGACGUUCCCUAGCUGGUCUGGGAGGAUGACCAGCCACACUGGGACUGAGACACGGCCCAGACGCCCACGGGAGGCAGCAGUGGGGAAUAUUGGACAAUGGGCGAAAGCCUGAUCCAUCCAUGUCGCGUGAGUGAUGAAGGCCUUAGGGUUGUAAAGCUCUUUUACCCGGGAUGAUAAUGACAGUACCGGGAGAAUAAGCUCCGGCUAACUCCGUG
Molecule: ribosomal RNA, 433 nt
Filed under: uncultured bacterium
Lineage: Bacteria
Description: partial 16S ribosomal RNA
Rfam family: Bacterial small subunit ribosomal RNA
Source: RNAcentral